GUAGAGCUGCUUUUACUGGUGCUACUGAA
RNAcentral lists this non-coding RNA (29 nucleotides) under Homo sapiens (human). Lineage: Eukaryota; Metazoa; Chordata; Mammalia; Primates; Hominidae. The record is from RNAcentral.